UGCAAACAUUCUUGUUCAGCCUAGUUUGUUCUUCGAGGUCUAGAAACAGAAGAGCAAAAGGCUGUUUUCGGUGUUGUUCUCCCACUCUGUGGGGCUUCACGGAGGAGUCUCGGCUCGCUUUGGUGGAAGUGACUCACGCUGCCUAAUUUCUCUUCAUAAAGGCGGUAAGAGACUGCGGGGGCCAGAGGGGAGACUGAACUUGGACCCACUGCUCACUCAGCUGACCUCCCCUCAUCCCAAAAUUGCCAAAACCCAAAGGAGUGAGGACUUGGAACAGCUGGAGACAGACCCAAGUCCUGAUUCUUCUCUCUCAGUGACCUCACAGAACCAUGGAACUGUUGAGCUCCAGGCCACGACCUGAGGGCAGGAAGGCCACCAACCUCUCUGGGAGCUGUGGACUAUAGCUGCUCUCCGAGGCCUGAUUAACUGGUGCACUCCCUUUUGAAACCCACCUGGAACGCCUGGAUCAGGGUCUCUUAAGGACUUCUCUCCAGGAGGAACGGCCUAUGCUCUUUUCCUGUUCCACCGCACUGGCUUUCUAGACUCACAACCGGAUGCUGCGAAGGCCGCAGCCCAAGGAAGCAGGAAUAAAACAAGACGAUAAGUCAGAAGGUGAACACAGGUCUGACCUAAGCAGGUAAGAGAGUAAAUCCACAGCAGGAAGGGCAGAGCUGCGUCUUCCUAGGUGAAAGCAACUUAAGAAAACGUGCAACAAUGCCAGGCGUGGUGGCACAGUGAUGCGGACUCAGGCAGGAGGAUUAUGCUUUAAAACAUCACUUAUCAAAACCCUGCUUCAAAACAAAGGCAAAACAAAACAAGGCAGCUUCUGCCCACUGGAAAGCAUCUCUAGAUGAAACGGGUCAGGGCGCUGGUCCACUCCGUGCUGUUACUUCAGAGGACCGCGGAUGGAUACUUUGUACUUCAGAGCACCGCGGAUGGAUACUUUGUACUUCAGAGGACUGCAGAUGGAUACUUUGUACUGGACAGAAAUUUAUUCCUCACACCUCUGGAAGGUGGAGCCUGAGAUCAAGGAGCCUUUAGGCUAGGUCUGGGCUCCCUUCAGCCGUUGCCUUGCACUGUCCUCCCUAAGAAAGGAGUGCUCCACACUGUGCACUCCACAGCCUCAUGGCCGAGCACACUCUCCCCUCCAGACCUCGUUCACAAGGGCUCUGCCAAACAGCACCCAAAGGCCCCAACCCUGCUGCUCUGGGGACAGACUAUGAAAGGUGAAUUUUGGAGAGAGAGAUCUUCAUACCACAGAAGGGGUCUUUGGCUGGGCCGGAGCAAGAGCAUCUCAUCCAGAAAGGCUCUCCAUCCCUGAAUAGUUUGUAGUGUGGAGUGGGGUGGAAGUGGGGGACUGGAGGUCAAUUUGUGUACAAGCUGAGGACACUCCUGGCAGAAUCAGGACACUUCCUGGAGGACUCCUCCAGCCCGAGGCUCCUAGAUGAGCGCACACAGCUUCUCCCACACUCCCUGCUCCUGUGGCUGUGAGACCUAGAAUCUAUUCUAUUCUAUACAUCAAGGCUGCUUCUGAGAAGACAGAGGUGAUUUGUUUUGAUCUACUAAUGGCUGUGCAAGUAGACACAUAUGCACACGCAGUCUACUCUGUCGUCUGGGUGGACACCAUGCCUCAGUGUGACAGGAAACAAGCCACCUUCAGGCCUUAGUGUGAGUAUGAGGCAGACAGCAGCGCUGGAGGGGGUGUACUUCUGUGAGCUGCUCCUGUUUCCAAGAUUGACAGUACAGACAGACAGGGUACAUCCUGAGUGCAGAAUCAAAAUCAAAAAGCGGAUCACACACUUCCAACAUCACAGGAUAUGUUACCAUUCCAAACAUCAUUGUGAAGAGACCCUGGAUAGAAACAAGAUCAAAAACUGACUGGGAAAACUCCAAUUCUGCAUCUCCGCGUCUGCUGUCCAUCUCCUUUCAGUGUUGUUGGCUGCAACACAGUUCUUCCUCUCGGGCUGGCUCCACCCCCUGUUUGCAGCUUUCCUCAGCAGGUGUCCCACAGCUCUGGCGUCUCUAACAUCUUGGGGUCUCCAAGGCAACUUCAACUUCAUAGCUUCUUGUUUCAAUAUCUGGGAUCCUGUAUAUCCCCUCGAAAGGGCCAGCUUUGCCUUGAGUCUGGUUAUAGGUCCAGAAGAAACUACUGGGGGGGCCCUUGAGGAACAUCCAUAUUGUUUCGCCUGACAUUUUCUUCAGAAAGUCACUGCUGGUUUAUCAGACAAUGAAGGAUUAAUUUCCUUGACUGAAAAGGGCAUUUCACGGGCGAGGGCUAAAAGUACUUUUUCCUCAGGUACUCAAACUUCUUCAAAGUUCUCAGCUUCAACCGGGUCCUCCCACAUACCCCCAUUCCGGGUUUAAGGAUCCCAUUCUUGGCCAAUCAAUGUGCUCGCUUUAACUGCUGACACCCUCCGAGUCUGAGACUCGAAUUUUUGCUGUAAUUCUGCAAAACUUACAACAAGGGCUUCGGUUUGAUUUUCUGCAACUUGAGCUCUAUGGCUGCUGGAGAGAAGGUUCUCUUCAAGGGCACAUCUAGAAACCUUUAGAUUGUUCAUUCUGGAGCCAGGCAAGUUUAUCACGCAGUUCAUUCCUUUCGUUUAUCAACCAACUUCUGUGCAUGGCCCUUCAGUCCUGGGCUGUCAGCUGCAACUGAGGCUGCACCUUCACCAAUGGCCUUCCAUGGCCUCUCACAGUGCCAAGCCUCAGAUGCUUUUCAUGACCCCUUCAUGCCUUCAAAACCAGUACCACCUGGGUGAUCCUUACACAUUACCAAAUACAGCUGCAGCAUGAGGUACAAUCUUGGCUGUCUCCAGAACCCGCUUCUUUGUGCUCUCAGAAAACACUUCCUAGAUUUCACCUCGGGGAUGCUGGUCUUCUUAAUCACUGCUAAUUUCUCAGCUCCAGCUGACCAGUAUUAAUUGUUAUGGUAACUACUUCUAGUAUUGACUCUAAAGCCAGAGCCACAUGGCUGAAGCUGUCAAGUUCUGCUGCUUUCUGGGGCUAGAACAUGACCCCCUUGUUCUCUUACAUCCUUCAUUGCCUAAGCUUAGCUGUCCUGGAACUUGCUCUGUAAAUCGACCUUGAACUCAGAGGUCUGCAGGCCUCUGUCCCCCGAGUUCUGGGAUUAACUCAGAUUAGGCACCACACCCGGACCUAAGCUUUUCUCUACUUGAAACUUGCUCUGUAACAGGCUGGACUUGAACUCAGAGACGUGCUUGCCUCUGCCUCCUGUGUAUGUACCAUCAUACCUGAACCUAAGCUUUUCGUGGUCACUAUACCUCAAGAUUCAGAUCAAAAAGCCUGUGACUUCUAGCCUCAAGAUCUUGGUCACAAGAGUGCCCUCCAUUUCUGGAUUGCAGUUCAUUCCAGACUAAAUUUACAAAUGAAAGCUAUAACCAGGUAAUGAUGCAUAAGAUUAUAUAACUAUCCCUUCUUCAACUUCAAAGACACAAACAAUAAGCCUAGCUGGGUGGGAUCUUGCCCUGACCCCACUCCCUUAAUUCCAUUUAAUAUCCUUGAACACAGGAUUUAAUUCCAUUGCACUUCCUGGUGCCUCUUGAGCCAUACAUGUUGUAUUUUUUUUUCCUUUCUACGUUUGCUAUGCUAGGUCAAAAUGUUCUCCAUGGGAGUAAAUCAGAGGAAAAAGUAUAAGCUUUUUUUUUUUUUGAAACUUCCUUUGUCAAUGCAAUUAGUCUGAAUUUCUCCACUUUAGCCUCAGGUAGACAAGGGCAAAAGGUAGUCACAUGCUUCACCAAAACAUCGUAAGAAGGAUGACCAGGCAGCAUACCGAAAUUAUUCUCCUCUGAAACCUCUCGAGCCCCAACAAUUUAAAUCAUCCUUAUUGCCCAUGCCUUCCAUUUUUCUACUAGGAUGCUCCAUUAUGCCCCAGUUAAAGCAUUCCAUUGAUUUCCAAACCCAAAGUCCCAAAAUCCACAUUCCUCCAAACAAAAACAUAGUCAUGUUUAUCACAGCAAUA
This is a long non-coding RNA of Rattus norvegicus (Norway rat), 3979 nucleotides long. RefSeq lists it as uncharacterized. Lineage: Eukaryota; Metazoa; Chordata; Mammalia; Rodentia; Muridae. The record is from RefSeq and is a predicted model, not a curated record.